RNAcentral lists this long non-coding RNA (303 nucleotides) under Phoenix dactylifera (date palm). Its description in RNAcentral is "long non-coding RNA (PDAC_LNC021010)". Lineage: Eukaryota; Viridiplantae; Streptophyta; Magnoliopsida; Arecales; Arecaceae. The record is from RNAcentral.
GAGGCUGGAGUCAAAGGAGCUUGAAUAGACAUCGAAAUCAUAAUAGAAACCAGGCCUGCGAGCAGCGAGUGCCCUUUGUAAGUUGGGAAAAAGUUAUUUCCUCUUUCUUUCCCCGCAGCUAUUCGUUACGUUUUGUUUUCAAUUCAAUUGAGCGUCAAUCUGCACUGAGCGAGUCAAAGAGAGGCGUCAGAAUUCGAAAGGCUAUUCUAUUAAGUAAGGAUCGACUUAAGCUUAAGCUAGCUCCAUCCUCAGAGUAAUAAUGAAUCAAAUUUUGCAAAAAAAAGAAAGAUCUUCAGGUGAUCA